This 497-nucleotide ribosomal RNA is filed under the name uncultured bacterium. Its description in RNAcentral is "partial 16S ribosomal RNA". It matches the Rfam family "Bacterial small subunit ribosomal RNA", at positions 28 to 507 of the family's 1533-position model. The record is from RNAcentral.
GAUGAACGCUGGCGGCGUGCCUAAUACAUGCAAGUCGAACGGACGCACAGUAAGCUUUUUCCCUUGCUGUUAGCGAGUGGCGGGUGAGUAACGCAUGCAUCACCUACUUCUUUGUCUUGGAUAACUUCGGAAGGCCAGUUAUGCUACCACCUCAUACUUUGUACCGCUUGAUUCAAAAGUGCUUCGCGCUUUUCGCGUUUCUUUUAGCCGAUUCCGCGUUGCAUUAGCUAGUUGGUAAGGUAACGGCCUACCAAGGCAACGAUGCAUAGCCGAUCUGAGAGGGUGAUCGGCCACACUGGAACUGAGACACGGUCCAGACUCCUACGGGAGGCAGCAGUAGGGAAUAUUGGGCAAUGGGCGAAAGCCUGAUGGAGCAAUGCCGCGUGGGUGAUGAAGGUCUUCGGGUCGUAAAGCUCUUUUAUUAGGAAAGAACAGAUGCAGAAGUAAAUGUGGAUAUUCUGACGGUACCUAAACAGAAAGCAACGGCUAACUACGUG